Molecule: ribosomal RNA, 1019 nt
Filed under: uncultured equine intestinal bacterium
Lineage: Bacteria
Description: bacterial SSU rRNA
Rfam family: Bacterial small subunit ribosomal RNA
Source: RNAcentral
GUGCCAGCCGCCGCGGUAAUACGGAGGAUGCGAGCGUUAUCCGGAUUUAUUGGGUUUAAAGGGUGCGUAGGCUGUCCGUCAAGUCAGCGGUGAAAUGCCGGGGCUCAACCCCGGAGCUGCCGUUGAUACUGUAGGGCUUGAAUCCUGCUGCCGUGGGAGGAAUGAGUAGUGUAGCGGUGAAAUGCAUAGAUAUUACUCAGAACACCGAUUGCGAAGGCAUCUCACGAAACAGGCAUUGACGCUGAGGCACGAAAGCGUGGGGAUCAAACAGGAUUAGAUACCCUGGUAGUCCACGCAGUAAACGAUGAUGACUAACCGUCGGCGAUACACAGUCGGUGGCCAAGCGAAAGCGAUAAGUCAUCCACCUGGGGAGUACGACCGCAAGGUUGAAACUCAAAGGAAUUGACGGGGGCCCGCACAAGCGGAGGAACAUGUGGUUUAAUUCGAUGAUACGCGAGGAACCUUACCCGGGCUCGAACGGCUGGUGAAGAGAUACAGAGAUGUUGACGUCCUUCGGGACACCAGUCGAGGUGCUGCAUGGUUGUCGUCAGCUCGUGUCGUGAGAUGUUGGCUCGAUGAUAACGCGAGGAACCUUACCCGGGCUGGAACGCAGCGGGACGGGGGCGGAGACGUCCCUUCCCUUCGGGGCCGGCUGCGAGGUGCUGCAUGGUUGUCGUCAGCUCGUGCCGUGAGGUGUCGGGUCAAGUCCCAUAACGAGCGCAACCCCUGCGUCCAGUUGCCACCGGUACGGCCGGGCACUUCUGGACGGACUGCCCGCGCAAGCGGAGAGGAGGGCGGGGAUGACGUCAAAUCAGCACGGCCCUUACGUCCGGGGCGACACACGUGCUACAAUGGCCGGCACAGAGGGCAGCCACGCGGCGACGCGGAGCGAAUCCCGAAAGCCGGUCUCAGUCCGGAUCGGAGCCUGCAACCCGGCUCCGUGAAGCUGGAAUCGCUAGUAAUCGCGCAUCAGCCAUGGCGCGGUGAAUACGUUCCCGGGCCUUGUACACACCGCCCGU